RNAcentral lists this transfer RNA (74 nucleotides) under Candidatus Buchananbacteria bacterium. RNAcentral describes it as "tRNA-Asp". It matches the Rfam family "tRNA". Rfam says of the family: Transfer RNA (tRNA) molecules are approximately 80 nucleotides in length. Their secondary structure includes four short double-helical elements and three loops (D, anti-codon, and T loops). Further hydrogen bonds mediate the characteristic L-shaped molecular structure. tRNAs have two regions of fundamental functional importance: the anti-codon, which is responsible for specific mRNA codon recognition, and the 3' end, to which the tRNAs corresponding amino acid is attached (by aminoacyl-tRNA synthetases). tRNAs cope with the degeneracy of the genetic code in two manners: having more than one tRNA (with a specific anti-codon) for a particular amino acid; and 'wobble' base-pairing, i.e. permitting non-standard base-pairing at the 3rd anti-codon position. The record is from RNAcentral. Lineage: Bacteria; Candidatus Buchananiibacteriota.
GGGGGCGUAGCUCAGUUGGUUAGAGCGCUUGCCUGUCACGCAAGAGGUCGCGAGUUCGAGUCUCGUCGUCCCCG